UGAUGGGAAAUCUCCAGAACUGCUGUACCACACUGAUGAUUCCCUCGAACCCUUCUAUAUCUGAUGACUGCAGCUGCUCUAC
Melopsittacus undulatus (budgerigar) is the source of this 82-nucleotide small nucleolar RNA. The record is from Ensembl. NCBI's taxonomy places the organism in Eukaryota, Metazoa, Chordata, Aves, Psittaciformes, Psittaculidae.